UCAAAUCUGUUGAGUCUUGGCUGAAACAACCGCAAUAUGUACAAACAGCUCUACAACUAAAUCUCACUUUCUGGGAACUAGCCACUGUAUAUUACAUAACUAUGCUUGCACUUGUCAUACCUUCUGUUCAUGUCCUAUGAAGUAUGGAUACACAAGGAGUAUUGCUCACAAGUCCGUGACAUCAAAAGCUGGGCAAAAGGAAUCUAGCCGAAGCACAGAAUGUUGUCAUUGACCUGUUCAUCAAUUGAAACGUCAAAGCUUUUAUUAAACUGUAAAUAGCAAACUAUCCAUCUACUCCCUCUGUUCUUUUAUAUACGAUGUUGAUUACCUCAACUUUGAACUAACCAGAAUCGUAUAUAAAAGAACGGCAGGAGUAAUACAGAAGAAUAUCAAGAAGCUAAGGACAUAUUAGUUGUUCUCUUUCGUUUUUUCCAAAGUAUCAUUAUGUAUUUUUUUCUAUGACAACUUUCUAUCGAAGUUACUAAUAAUAAUGUGAUGUGCUUUGUGUUUAUCAAUUUUGGCAGUAACCUACAGCUACUGCAAGCAUAUUAGGGAAUCUCAUGGCAAAAUCUCUGCAAGCAUAUUUCUUACACACUAACAUCAUGCAUUGAUCCUAGUUAAAAUGCAGAAAAGAUGCAGAAAAAUAAAUGUGAAAGGAUUCUGCAGUGCAGUAAUUGCUAACUAAGUUUAAAGCAAUGUAGUGUUAAUGAUCUAUCACUGUUUUACUUCAAAAAAGGGCACCAGUUUUGGCAAGGAAGAAUAAUUGCUCUUAAUUUUUUAGGGAAAAAAUCUUAUAUGCCACUAGGAGUUAGGACAAAAAAAGUACUUUGUCAGAUUACUUAUAUGCUCUUAUUAAAAUACAAUUCAAACAGUUCAUGGAUUCCUGGAGCUUUCCUUUCCUCUCAGUUUACCACAAUUUUGGUGUUACACAAAAAGUAAAAAGUGCGAAACAGAACCUAAUUAAAACAAAAUGGAAACAUGAAGCACUAUCAGAUUUUAUAGUAUGUUCUUACCAGUCCAACAUAUCCUGCUUCAGUAGCUCAUACAGUCACUCUUGGCUCUGGAAUGGAUCGCUUGAACUUACCUCAUUCUUUGCAAACUGUCAUAAAUCAAUGGUCAGAUUCAGCAAAAGCAGAAAAAAGAAAAAUGUUUCAAGAGUCUAUCCAGGUUAUUGGGGAGAAACAAACCGUUGCUGUUGUUAUUGUCGCCAUUGUAACAGGUUGACUAGAUGGCAAGACAAAGUUGCUCCAAAAAAGUGGGUCAGCAGAAGGAUCAGCUGGGCUCCAGGUACUCUUCAUUGGUGUAGGCAUGACAGGGGCCAUUGAGUAAGUAGCUCUUUGCACUAGCAGCUCAUUCAUGUUAAUAUUAACUGCCGCUGUAUCAUGUCCAGUAGCAGGUACCGAGCCAACAGCCUUUCCUUCAACAAUUUCUUUACUGAGUGUACAUUCUUCAGAUGAUUUUGUAGACUUCUCCAAGAAGCUUUUGAAGGCAUCAGACUGAGAUAAUAUACCACAUGCUGAUAAGCCCAUUGAAGAGGGCUUUGAAGGAGAACAGAGGCCAAGAGAAGGCAACUUAUACGGUUCAGUCUGUUGCAUUGAACUUUCAAUAGCUCGGACUUCAUCAGCAAUCUCUUCUGCUUUAGAUGUAUCUGACUGCCG
This 1658-nucleotide long non-coding RNA is filed under the name Setaria italica (foxtail millet). RNAcentral's name for it is "long non-coding RNA (SITA_LNC002180)". The record is from RNAcentral. Lineage: Eukaryota; Viridiplantae; Streptophyta; Magnoliopsida; Poales; Poaceae.